AACUUUUAACCAAUUUGAUCCUUGCUUGACUACUAACUCGAAUCUUAUGAAUAAAAAUAAAAACAAAAAGAUAGAAUUGAACAAAGCAGAAUUGACCUUAUGUCCGUUUGAAAACACUAACAAGGUCAUGCUACCCAAUUUCACUACUGGUCAAAUGAAAUAAGACUAAGAAGAAUGAGAAAAAUCAUGGAGCAGACGAGGAAAAGAGAACAAAGAUAAAGAACUGAAAGAAAAAGAAAGAAAAUACUCCUAAGCAAAAUAGUCAAAUGGCUGGCUUGAACAGGUCUUCGGUAUCCUCUGAUUUUGGCCGGAAUGGGUUUUACUCACAUGUUCUCAAAUGAAAACACCUGAAUAAAACCGCUUCCUACUCCCAAUCCAUUGAUUUUAUUUUAAAGACUCAGGGCUGCCUUUUUCGAACCAAAAUUCGUGACGUUUUGUCAAGAUUUGAAGGAAGUGAGGUGGAGUUUUGGGAUGAGGGAAGAAAAAGGGUUCAGGGGUGUUAAUUUGGUGCAAAAAGAGGUGGCUCCGUCAGCGGGGGUGGAGGAUCGGAGGGCAACACUCUAGGGUUUCGAGCUUUGAACGGAGAUUCGAGGGUAUUCUGGGAAGAUUCAAGGUAAACAGGUUUUAGAUUCAAAAUGAGGAGGUCAAGGUGGGCUUAUGGUAUAAUUUUGGUGAAGGUUGGACGCCAGCCACCACCGUGGGUAAUUCCCGGUAGGCGGCAGGCGAUGGUUCGUGGUGGUGGUGGGUCUGAGGUUGAAGAUGAAAG
This 766-nucleotide long non-coding RNA is filed under the name Nicotiana benthamiana. Its description in RNAcentral is "long non-coding RNA (NBEN_LNC032907)". Lineage: Eukaryota; Viridiplantae; Streptophyta; Magnoliopsida; Solanales; Solanaceae. The record is from RNAcentral.